RNAcentral lists this long non-coding RNA (1138 nucleotides) under Oryza sativa Indica Group (long-grained rice). RNAcentral's name for it is "lncRNA OsZS97_11G009340". Lineage: Eukaryota; Viridiplantae; Streptophyta; Magnoliopsida; Poales; Poaceae. The record is from RNAcentral.
AUGAAGAUCGAGCGCGAUUUCCACAUGAUGAAAGGGGACGAUGAGUUCAGUUAUGCUGAGAAUUCAAGGAUGCAAAAAAGAGCUGUUCUUGCUGCCAAACCAAUAGUUGAGAAAGCUGUACGGGAAGUGUGCAUAGAUCUUCAUCCUCAAUUAAUGGUCAUUGCUGACCUUGGUUGCUCCUUCGGAGCAAACACACUUCUCUUCGUCUCUGAGGCGAUCACCACAAUAUGUGAGGACCAUAACAACACUAUCAAGGAGAGCCCCAUGGAGAUCCAGUUCUUCCUCAAUGAUCUACCUGGCAAUGACUUCAACCACAUCUUCCAAUCACUAGAGCAGUUCGAGCAGUCGACAACACAUGAUUGCGCUUGCAAAGGGUUACAACCUCCCGCGCACUUUGUCGCAGGUCUGCCGGGUUCCUUCUACAGUAGACUCUUCCCUUCCAAUAGCGUCCAUCUCUUCCAUUCCUCAAUGAGCGUCAUGUGGCUCUCUCAGGUUCCUGAGCAUCUUGAUGGCAGCAUGAACGAGGGGAACAUUCACAUAGGAGCGACUACACCACCAUCGGUGGCAAAGCUCUACCAAAAUCAGUUUGAGAAGGACUUCUCACAGUUCCUCCAAAUGAGAUGCAUGGAGAUUGUGCCCGGAGGCCGGAUGGUCCUGACGGUUGCUGGGAGGAAGAACAAAGAUGUGUUCCAUGCAGGAGGGACAACCACCUUAUUCGAGUUGCUGUCACAGGGGCUACGCACUCUUGUUGCUGAGGGUCGUGUUGCCAAGGAGAAGCUGGACUCUUUCAACAUACCAUUCUACUGCCCUUCAGCUGACGAGCUGAAGCAGCUGGUGCAGCAGUGCGAGCUACUUGACAUAAGUGACAUCCAACUCUUAGAGAUAGAUGGGAACGCCAUGGAUGACUCAGAGCAAGCAGAGGGCAUUUCAGCCACUCACACUGCGGGAGAGAGCAUGUCUGCAAGCCUAAGGGCGGCAAUGGAGUCCCUGAUUGCGAGCCAUUUUGGGGAGGGCAUACUUGAGGAUCUCUUCACGGUGUUUGCACGUAAUUUCACAAGUUAUAUUGAGAGUGAUGUUGAGAAGAGCGGCGUCACGGUCAUCACACUGUACUUGCAGGCAAAACACUAGUUAGUUAAUG